RNAcentral lists this ribosomal RNA (250 nucleotides) under uncultured bacterium. RNAcentral describes it as "partial 16S ribosomal RNA". It matches the Rfam family "Bacterial small subunit ribosomal RNA", at positions 61 to 339 of the family's 1533-position model. The record is from RNAcentral.
GUCGAACGAACCCUUCGGGGUUAGUGGCGCACGGGUGCGUAACGCGUGGGAAUCUGCCCUUAGGUACGGAAUAACAGUGAGAAAUUACUGCUAAUACCGUAUGAUGUCUUCGGACCAAAGAUUUAUCGCCUAGGGAUGAGCCCGCGUAGGAUUAGCUAGUUGGUGAGGUAAAGGCUCACCAAGGCUACGAUCCUUAGCUGGUCUGAGAGGAUGAUCAGCCACACUGGGACUGAGACACGGCCCAGACUCC